UACGUAGGGGCCGAGCGUUGUCCGGAGUUACUGGGCGUAAAGCGCGCGCAGGCGGCUCGUCAAGCCUGACGUGAAAGCCCCCGGCUCAACCGGGGAGGGUCGUCGGGGACUGGCGGGCUUGAGGUCGGCAGGGGUUGGUGGAAUUCCCGGUGUAGUGGUGAAAUGCGUAGAUAUUGGGAGGAACACCAGUGGCGAAAGCGACUUUCUGGGCCAUUCCUGACGCUGAGGUUCGAAAGCUCGGGGAGCAAACAGG
This 253-nucleotide ribosomal RNA is filed under the name uncultured bacterium. Its description in RNAcentral is "partial 16S ribosomal RNA". It matches the Rfam family "Bacterial small subunit ribosomal RNA", at positions 524 to 776 of the family's 1533-position model. The record is from RNAcentral.